Gallus gallus (chicken) is the source of this 4322-nucleotide long non-coding RNA. RefSeq lists it as uncharacterized. The transcript is spliced from 2 exons. NCBI's taxonomy places the organism in Eukaryota, Metazoa, Chordata, Aves, Galliformes, Phasianidae. The record is from RefSeq and is a predicted model, not a curated record.
GGCAGCUCAGAAGGCGCUCCAACACAAAUAGAGCAGAUACCAGCGAGUCCUGGAAACGCAGCAGUUUCUUUAUUGGGCUGCACAAGGUAGGGGGUAACAGGGGAACGGGGCAACUUCAGUAUUUGUUAGGAAGUCCUGCGGGCCUGAAGCGGUUGGGAUCGCCGCCUCUCCUGCCCCACUCGUUGGCCUCCUGGUCGAGCCGGGUGUCCUCCGCGCCUCUGCCGCUCACCCUGCUCUGCCAGCCCUCCCGGGCAUCGCUGCAAGGAGAGGCCGCCUGAACCGCCGGCACCCCGCCGGCACCCCGCUCCCAGCCGCGGUCCUGCUCUGUGCCGGCCCUCUCCCUCCCGUAACACUAUUGCUUCUGCAGUGCUGCCUCCCCUCCCCUCCAUUCCCCUCCUGGAUCCAAAGCUUCGUACGUCUCAAGAAGGAUUUCACCCCGACUGGAACACCUGGGCCCCUAGUAACUCCGUGUUAACAAGAUGGCUGCCGUGCCGUUACCUGAUCACUUUGGCUGCCCAAGCACCUCCAGGUCCUCUCCGAGCAGCAUCGUAAUUGCCACGAGCAUGGAAAUACUUGUCAGCACCAAUGUAGUUUGCCUCACGCAUGUCCCGGUAUGCUCUCCACAUAUCCCGUGCGCCUGAAGAGAGCAGACAGGUGACGUUCACUUUGAUGUCCCAUUCCAGCAGCAGCCAAGCACCAUUUCAGACAGAAGCCCAUGGCUGCUACUGGGCCAGAAAGCCUCAUGUGUCCCCAGGGCUCCCCAUGUGUCCCCAGGGCUCCACGGAGAAACCUCUCUUAUCAACCCCUACUGAAGUAGGGCAGGUUAGCAAAGCGGAAGAAAAGGGGCUCCUUGAGGAGAACUUCGUGGAGCCAUGGAGGCUUUGCUUGGCUCUGAUGCCUCAAGGGCUGGAGGAGUUGUCUCAAAGCAAGCUGGCAGUGACACUUUAGACCCAUAGUGUGCACUAGAGAAGGUACCAGCUUCAUUCUGAGACUUUAGCAGUAGAAGGUUUGUGCAACCAGUUUGUCCACAAAAAGCUCUCCAUGAGCACGUGCCUAUCCUGCAAUCCCUGUGCCUGGUUUGGCCGCAGGGUUGCCCCCAAGCUUGAGCCCAGGCCUGCCAUAUUCUUUGUGCUGCGCUUGGCAAGACCCAAGGAACACAGAGGCACUUGUCCAAAUGGGCCUUUCAAUGGGAGUCGCCAGCUGAAAGGGCCUGUGGAGGCUGAUCGAGGUCCUCUCCUAGCAGCAGAGACCAACAGGGUCCCUAAUGUGGAGCCGCAGGACCUCCUUGACUGGAGGACUGCAUGUGGCCCGUGCUCAGGGAUUGGGUCCUGAGAGAAAGACCAGUGGUGAUGGAAUAACUUACCUCCAGCUGCAUCCCUGACAAACUUGAUACCGCUGGAGAAUGGGUUGUCUGCACUUGCAUACAGAACAAUGGAGAGCAACACGAAGCAGAUACAGAGCCUCAUGGUUCCCUGCCCAAGCCUGACACGGAGCUGUAAGAAAAUAAGAGAGAUUAGCAGUUGUAGAGCACCUCUUAGAGAUUUCUGACCUAGCAUUCAUUGCACCCACAGCUGUGCCCAGGCAGCUGCAGGAACACUCAUGCAGCCACCCCAGAGCUUAUGGCCUGCCCAAGAGCUCAGCAUAAGACUCCUCGACAAAGGCAGACACACAGGAGAAAUUUGCAUUUGAGCAUUCUUUGCUGCUUCUUCCAUGAGAACAGAGAAGUCCCACAUGCUAAAACAUCAGUCCUCUUCCCAAAUAACAAAAACAGUGCAUGCAUCACAUAAAUUCAGAGCAUCACUCACCACUGCAGAAAGGCAAAGCCUGGAGGUCAGGUGGAAGUGAAGCCCAUCUCAUGAGCUUUCAGAGAGGGUAUUUAUAAGCGAUUUAAACCCCAGAAAAGAGGAAAUUGAAAAGGAUACCCAGGGCUGGGAAUUUCCCAGUACCACCCCACUUUCAACAUAGAAUUACAAUAAGCUUGCCCUUGUCCUGGCUGAAAGUUCAUGAAUCCUGUUACACAAUUUUUUGUAAAGUAUACAGUGCUUUGUUUUCCACAGGAAAUUUGCUCCCCAUAGCAAGCAGAUUGAGAAACUUCCACAAAGAUUGAAGUGUUUGAGAUGUUGUGGUUGACUUCAGUUUUUUGGCUCUUGUGCUAGAAUGAGCUCAGAGGAGAAACUGCCUGAUCAUCUGCCUUCAUCUUGAGUGGCUGCUGAGUGAGCUCCCCAUCCUUAUCUCAACCCAGGAGCUGUUUUCACAGUUUCUUCCAUCUUUCUGAGGAUGCAGAACAAGGGAGCAGCACAAUGGACCUUAGCUAGCCAAUGCAUGAAACCACAACAGGGAACGGUCAUCUACACUACCAGAAAUGCUGCAGGAACUGCUAGGUGUUGGGGUAGCAAGAUGGAUCCCAAAGAUGGCAGAACUUAACUCCACUGCAUACACCUAUAUCCUAACUGGCAACACUUUAAGACAGUGCACACUCAUGCCACCACCGGGAAGGCUUAAAUGGUUCAUUCUUCCUUUGCUUGCUCCCACAGACUCCUCUUAAGGGGCAUUAAGCCAUUCUGCUUCCACAGUGGUUCAGUGGAGUCCCAGUGGGCUAAAGGAAGGAGAGUAAUGCAGUAGCAAAUGUUUUAAUAAAAGGGAAAUUCAAAUCCAUAUGGCCAAAUCUCUGUUAAAUUUUAAGAUCAGCAUAUUGACAAUCAAGCCCUGCUGGUGUGGCUCACAGCUUCAGUACCCAAUAUCCUCCUCUUGCGUUUGCACCAGGUCAAAGAGUGCUUGGCGCCUGCUUGCCUUGUUCAACAACCAACAUGAUUCCUCUGCAGAAGGCUCUGGACAGAGCAUGCAGAAUGCCUCCCUUUACACGGUCUCAUACACAGUUUAACAGCUACAGAGUUUCUUUAAAUGCUGUGCAGAACAAGUAUGCGUAGUUGUCCCAUUCACAAUUCUGUCGCUUAGUAAGUGGCUGGAGCUGAAGUGCUGGGGCAUGAGGUAAAAGAAGUGCAUUAGCAAACUGGGCUAAUAAAAUACCAGCAACUGUCUUCUCUUCCUUUGGACAUCUCUGACUCCAGCAAAAAACUUAAGAGAGCAAGAGCCACUUUCCAGAGACAGGCCUGGAGCAGAAGGACAGAUAACCUCUGAAUAGAACAACUUAAGAUGAGAAGAAUCUAUAUCCCAACGCGACAGAAAGGAAAACUUUGCAAAAGCCAUGAGACAGACAAAAUCUUGCCUGUGCCAUCCAUGAACCUCAUACUUAACAUACACCUUAGCUACCGUAGGGACUGGAGUGUUGUGUUAUUACAAUUCAUUUACAUUCUACGGAUGAUUUAAAUCCCUUUCAGCACCUAUCAGCCCAAGUUCCUUCUCUGCUGGCUGCAAGUGGCCCAGCCUGUCUCCUCUUCAGUUUUAAUUUAAAUUAAGUCACAACUGGAAGAGGAUUCUUUUGAACUUGGAUUGAACUCAGCAAAACAUAAGUCAUUGUGUCCAGGGACCUGGAAGGUGCCCAUAGAACUGACUUAAGGAACUUUCUGGAACACAGAAGGCGUUUCUGGGUUUUCAGACCUGGUCUGAUAUUUCACAGUCUCAUCAAACCACUGUUCUCUGCAAAUAGCACAAACAUGAGGAUAACUGCAACAAGACAGGCACUGGCGUGGACCGUGAAUUGCUUAUUCUUGACUCUGCCUGGAAAGCACUGCUUUCCCAACUCCUCUGGGCCUGCUUUCCCAGUCACACCCUUGGCCCAUAGAAGCAAAAGCUGCAGCCAAGAACUGCUACCUUUACACAAAGACGUGAGCAAGCUGCCACUGAGAGUGAAGAAGGAUGGAAUGCUCCUGCCUGGAUACUAGGAACAUCUAACCUAAUAAGGGCCCCUCCAAGACUCUCUUCUGACUUUGGAUGAUCUGAUACAGUUAAGAUAAAAGCACAAUUUGGAACUUCUACCCCUGAAACUGGCCUUUGAUUUUAAAUAUCUGUAAAUGCAGUAAUUUUGCAAUCGAGGUAUUUUGCAAUCUAAGUCAAUAAGCUUUUGACUGGAAAAUGGAAGGUAAAAUCCCAGCCCAGACCCAGCAGUAAAUACUGUUUUUCUAUAUUCUGGGAAGUAAGAAGACUUUCUCUUCACUUACCCAAACAAAAAUACACCUUUUUAUUUUUUUUCUUUUUCCUUUUCCUCUUGUAAUGCUGCUCUGUGCAAUGUUUGCUAACAUUGGUGUCAGGCUUGCAGAAUGAUUGCAAUCUUCCUAGUUUCGUAAGAUACAGACUGCACAUAUAAAUGCUUAUCUUAAAUAGAAUCAUCAAAAACCUACUGGUAAAUGAAUUUUAACAGUGAA